CAGAAAAACAAUUUUAUUAAGCAUACUCAUCAAGAGCCAAAAUGUUACAGAUAGAAUGGGAGGUGAAACCCAAGUAGUAAUGCAAGACAAGGUAAUAGCAUCCCUAGCUAAAAAGUGAGCCACCCUAUUUGCAUCUCUGUAAACCCAACUGAAAGAGAACAUCCCCUGGCAAACAAGGGAGUUACAAUCUUGAAUAAUAGAGCCAUAGACAGAUCGAUCCUCUACCUCUGACUGACAAGCAUAAAAAAUAAGCUGAGAAUCAACUUCUACUUCAACAUGGGAAAGCUGCAGAUCAAGAAGCCAUGGCAGAGCCUCUCGUAAACCCAUUUGCCUCAGCGACCUUCACCUCAUAAAGACCAAGAAAAGGACCUGACACACCUCCGACGAAAGCUCCUUGAUCAUUCCGCAAAACUGCAGCAAAGCCUGAACUAUUCAUUGCCUGAAAAAGUGUUGCAUCGACGUUGAACUUGAGAUUUCCAGUUGUAGGCUUGGUCCAAGUUCUCCUAACAAUAACAGGCACACUAGCUGAUAAGAUUAUUCUGCCUAAACUCUGAGCUUGUCUCCAAUCAGAUAAGAAUUUCUCAGCUUCAUUGACCACCAUCUGAGAAGUUUUAAACUUAGAGUGCCAAAGAAUAAAAUUCCAUGUAGCCCAUAUACUCCAUGCAACCAUUGCAAUCCUAAUAGCUUUCUCCAAACUAUUUGCCGAGAGGGCAUUGAAGAAAAAAAUCCCUAAAAGACAAAGCUGAAGAAGCUAAAUUGAACCCAACAAUGUUCCAACAAUUUGAUGCAAAAGGAUAAGAAAGAAGGACAUGAUAAAUGCUCUCCUCCUCACCACAAAAUAAACAACGUGGGUCAAUAUCCAAACCCCUUUGAAGAAGACAAAUUUUAGCUGGGAGAAUUACUUUACAUGCUCUCUAACCAAAGUUUUGCACUUUGGAGGCAAAUCAACAGGCCACAACCCUCGCCAAUUGAAAUGAGAAGUAG
RNAcentral lists this unclassified non-coding RNA (984 nucleotides) under Hevea brasiliensis (rubber tree). Lineage: Eukaryota; Viridiplantae; Streptophyta; Magnoliopsida; Malpighiales; Euphorbiaceae. The record is from RNAcentral.